RNAcentral lists this ribosomal RNA (443 nucleotides) under uncultured bacterium. RNAcentral describes it as "partial 16S ribosomal RNA". It matches the Rfam family "Bacterial small subunit ribosomal RNA", at positions 338 to 795 of the family's 1533-position model. The record is from RNAcentral.
CCUACGGGUGGCAGCAGUGGGGAAUAUUGGGCAAUGGGCGCAAGCCUGACCCAGCAACGCCGCGUGAAGGAAGAAGGCUUUCGGGUUGUAAACUUCUUUUCUCAGGGACGAAGCAAGUGACGGUACCUGAGGAAUAAGCCACGGCUAACUACGUGCCAGCAGCCGCGGUAAUACGUAGGUGGCAAGCGUGAUCCGGAUUUACUGGGUGUAAAGGGCGUGUAGGCGGGAAAGCAAGUCAGAUGUGAAAACCAUGGGCUCAACCUGUGGCCUGCAUUUGAUACUGUUUGGCUUGAGUACUGGAGAGGGAGAUGGAAUUCCAGGUGUAGCGGUGAAAUGCGUAGAGAUUAGGAGGAACACCAGUGGCGAAGGCGGUCUGCUGGACAGAAACUGACGCUGAGGCGCGAAAGCGUGGGGAGCAAACAGGAUUAGAUACCCGAGUAGUC